RNAcentral lists this ribosomal RNA (501 nucleotides) under uncultured bacterium. RNAcentral's name for it is "partial 16S ribosomal RNA". It matches the Rfam family "Bacterial small subunit ribosomal RNA", at positions 30 to 523 of the family's 1533-position model. The record is from RNAcentral.
AUUGAACGCUGGCGGCAGGCUUAACACAUGCAAGUCGAGCGGGGGAAGGUAGCUUGCUACCGGACCUAGCGGCGGACGGGUGAGUAAUGCUUAGGAAUCUGCCUAUUAGUGGGGGACAACAUCUCGAAAGGGAUGCUAAUACCGCAUACGUCCUACGGGAGAAAGCAGGGGAUCUUCGGACCUUGCGCUAAUAGAUGAGCCUAAGUCGGAUUAGCUAGUUGGUGGGGUAAAGGCCUACCAAGGCGACGAGCUGUAGCGGGUCUGAGAGGAUGAUCCGCCACACUGGGACUGAGAAACGGCCCAGACUCCUACGGGAGGCAGCAGUGGGGAAUAUUGGAAAAUGGGGGGAACCCUGAUCCAGCCAUGCCGCGUGUGUGAAGAAGGCCUUAUGGUUGUAAAGCACUUUAAGCGAGGAGGAGGCUACUUUAGUUAAUACCUAGAGAUAGUGGACGUUACUCGCAGAAUAAGCACCGGCUAACUCUGUGCCAGCAGCCGCCGUAA